This 630-nucleotide ribosomal RNA is filed under the name uncultured bacterium. RNAcentral describes it as "bacterial SSU rRNA". It matches the Rfam family "Bacterial small subunit ribosomal RNA", at positions 8 to 619 of the family's 1533-position model. The record is from RNAcentral.
AGAGUUUGAUCCUGGCUCAGGACGAACGCUGGCGGCGUGCCUAAUACAUGCAAGUCGAGCGAACAGAGAAGGAGCUUGCUCCUUCGACGUUAGCGGCGGACGGGUGAGUAACACGUGGGCAACCUACCUUAUAGUUUGGGAUAACUCCGGGAAACCGGGGCUAAUACCGAAUAAUCUGUUUCACCUCAUGGUGAAACAUUGAAAGACGGUUUCGGCUGUCGCUAUAGGAUGGGCCCGCGGCGCAUUAGCUAGUUGGUGAGGUAACGGCUCACCAAGGCGACGAUGCGUAGCCGACCUGAGAGGGUGAUCGGCCACACUGGGACUGAGACACGGCCCAGACUCCUACGGGAGGCAGCAGUAGGGAAUCUUCCACAAUGGGCGAAAGCCUGAUGGAGCAACGCCGCGUGAGUGAAGAAGGAUUUCGGUUCGUAAAACUCUGUUGUAAGGGAAGAACAAGUACAGUAGUAACUGGCUGUACCUUGACGGUACCUUAUUAGAAAGCCACGGCUAACUACGUGCCAGCAGCCGCGGUAAUACGUAGGUGGCAAGCGUUGUCCGGAAUUAUUGGGCGUAAAGCGCGCGCAGGUGGUUUCUUAAGUCUGAUGUGAAAGCCCACGGCUCAACCGUGGA